GACGAACGCUGGCGGCGUGCCUAAUACAUGCAAGUUGAGCGCUGAAGGUUGGUACUUGUACCAACUGGAUGAGCAGCGAACGGGUGAGUAACGCGUGGGGAAUCUGCCUUUGAGCGGGGGACAACAUUUGGAAACGAAUGCUAAUACCGCAUAAAAACUUUAAACACAAGUUUUAAGUUUGAAAGAUGCAAUUGCAUCACUCAAAGAUGAUCCCGCGUUGUAUUAGCUAGUUGGUGAGGUAAAGGCUCACCAAGGCGAUGAUACAUAGCCGACCUGAGAGGGUGAUCGGCCACAUUGGGACUGAGACACGGCCCAAACUCCUACGGGAGGCAGCAGUAGGGAAUCUUCGGCAAUGGACGAAAGUCUGACCGAGCAACGCUGCGUGAGUGAAGAAGGGUUUCGGAUCGUAAAACUCUGUUGGUAGAGAAGAACGUUGGUGAGAGUGGAAAGCUCAUCAAGUGACGGUAACUACCCAGAAAGGGACGGCUAACUACGUG
This 497-nucleotide ribosomal RNA is filed under the name uncultured bacterium. RNAcentral's name for it is "partial 16S ribosomal RNA". It matches the Rfam family "Bacterial small subunit ribosomal RNA", at positions 28 to 507 of the family's 1533-position model. The record is from RNAcentral.